RNAcentral lists this ribosomal RNA (377 nucleotides) under uncultured eukaryote. RNAcentral's name for it is "partial 18S ribosomal RNA". It matches the Rfam family "Eukaryotic small subunit ribosomal RNA", at positions 592 to 976 of the family's 1831-position model. The record is from RNAcentral.
CAAUAGCGUAUAUUUAAGUUGCUGCAGUUAAAAAGCUCGUAGUUGGAUUUCGGGUGGGAAUGGCCGGUCCGCCGUUUCGGUGUGCACUUGCUACGCCCACCUUGCUGCCGGGGACGUGCUCUUGAGUUCACGCUCGGGACACGGAGUCGGCGAGGUUACUUUGAGUAAAUUAGAGUGUUCAAAGCAGGCCUACGCUCUGAAUACAUUAGCAUGGAAUAACACGAUAGGACUCUGGCCUAUCUUGUUGGUCUGUAGGACCGGAGUAAUGAUUAAGAGGGACAGUCGGGGGCAUUCGUAUUUCAUUGUCAGAGGUGAAAUUCUUGGAUUUAUGAAAGACGAACUACUGCGAAAGCAUUUGCCAAGGAUGUUAUCAUUAA